Molecule: long non-coding RNA, 498 nt
Filed under: Bos taurus (domestic cattle)
Lineage: Eukaryota; Metazoa; Chordata; Mammalia; Artiodactyla; Bovidae
Description: long non-coding RNA NONBTAT019720
Source: RNAcentral
AAAAAAGCAUUAUCAAGAUGCGUGUAAAGUAGUCAUAUAUGGGAAGUCUCAUUGGCUUGUCCUUUAAAACAAGGUCCUAUUGACAGAAGAGCGUUGUAGGUCUUCACGUGGCUCUAGAAUGGAAUUUGCUGUGUCCUGAAUGGAUUCAGUGAUGAACCGGUAAAGAAACAAAAGAGUAGGAAGGUUUUGCCUGUAGAAAACUUGAAAACAGAGCGAGGGUGAUUGGGUGUUUAGGAAAGAUCUUCGGCUUUUGUGACUGGUAAAGAGAUAGGGUUAACUCUCUGGAGAACAUGGAGAGUUUCCCAGCUCCGCGUGCCUGCAUCCCACACGGGAAACCUGGCUGCUCCAGGUCCGCGUCUUGUCUGUUAACUGAAGCUCUCUAGAAAUGAAGGCUGUCCUGUGAUCCCAAGCUGCUCAGGAUGGUGUGCUGAUCGAGAAUUCCACCUGAUUGGAGGCGAGUGUGAGCAUCUCUCUGCUGCAUCUCACUACCCCGUACAC